RNAcentral lists this ribosomal RNA (372 nucleotides) under uncultured organism. RNAcentral's name for it is "bacterial SSU rRNA". It matches the Rfam family "Bacterial small subunit ribosomal RNA", at positions 526 to 896 of the family's 1533-position model. The record is from RNAcentral.
CGAAGGGUGCAAGCGUUACUCGGAAUUACUGGGCGUAAAGCGUGCGUAGGUGGUUUGUUAAGUCUGAUGUGAAAGCCCUGGGCUCAACCUGGGAACGGCAUUGGAUACUGGCUUACUAGAGUGCGGUAGAGGGGUGUGGAAUUCCCGGUGUAGCAGUGAAAUGCGUAGAUAUCGGGAGGAACAUCUGUGGCGAAGGCGACACCCUGGACCAGCACUGACACUGAGGCACGAAAGCGUGGGGAGCAAACAGGAUUAGAUACCCUGGUAGUCCACGCCCUAAACGAUGCGAACUGGAUGUUGGGUGCAAUUUGGCACUCAGUAUCGAAGCUAACGCGUUAAGUUCGCCGCCUGGGAAGUACGGUCGCAAGACUG